GCCUGAGUGGCUCAGUUGGUUGAGCAUCUGACUUCAGCUCAGGUCAUGAUCUCAUGGUUUGUGGGUUCAAGCCCCACGUCGGGCU
Molecule: transfer RNA, 85 nt
Filed under: Felis catus (domestic cat)
Lineage: Eukaryota; Metazoa; Chordata; Mammalia; Carnivora; Felidae
Description: tRNA-Sup (TCA) (tRNA-Sup-TCA-6-1)
Rfam family: tRNA
About the family: Transfer RNA (tRNA) molecules are approximately 80 nucleotides in length. Their secondary structure includes four short double-helical elements and three loops (D, anti-codon, and T loops).
Source: Rfam by way of RNAcentral